Xiphophorus hellerii (green swordtail) is the source of this 1666-nucleotide long non-coding RNA. RefSeq lists it as uncharacterized. The record is from RefSeq and is a predicted model, not a curated record. NCBI's taxonomy places the organism in Eukaryota, Metazoa, Chordata, Actinopteri, Cyprinodontiformes, Poeciliidae. The transcript is spliced from 2 exons.
AUUGCUCCAAAUGCUCUGAAAGGAAACCAUGCUAUAAUGGAUUUUAAAAUGAAGUUAAGUAUUAUAUCCAGACUAUGGAAAAAGGUUACUAAAAGUAACUACUAACUAGUUACUAAUUAAAGUUGACCUGCUUUUAAUGAAUGUACUGGUGGAACCCUAGUUUUUCUUGAGGCAUACAAAUGUUUGACUCAGUGAAGUUCAUCAUGUCUGGUUUUAUGACAGGUGUGUCGGGUUGGCAGGUUGGUUCCUGCAGCUGAGCAGGAUGUUGACUCCUGGGCGGUCCAACCGGUUCACCAAGCCGGGCUCGGCUCGGAUCAGCUGUGUUUCCUCCUGUCUGCGUGGGCCAAUCAAACUACAGCAUCCUAAAGGGCGAGAGGCGGGUCACCCUGGACGGGUCGCAGGACCAACAACCAGGAGCACAAACCUGGGAGGAAACCGGAGGACCUGGAGAGAACCCACUGUGCAGAAAGACCCUGGGCCAGGAAUCGAACCCGGGACCUCGUGCAGCCCUCUUAUUAACAGUAAAACAUAAAAAAUGUCAGAAGAAAAGGAGCAUUUUGAACGUUUUAUUGCAUUUCAUUGCAACUUUGAACAAAAAUAACAUUAAUAUACUGUUUUUCAAGAGUUUAUUGUACAGUUUGUCCUUUUCUAAUUAUUUUGGGAUGAAAUGUUUCACUUUUCUGCAACCUUUGGUCGAGCCUUCAGCCUUUUGGACUCCAUUCUGUCUGUGGGGUGAAACUUCAGGCUGAAAUAUUAUUUUCCUCGUUGAUAAAAGGAUUUAAUUUCUCCUUUGAAAAGAGGAAAUAUGUUCUCACAUCUCAGAGUUGUAGAACAAUAUUAAUACAAAUGAUAGGACUGAUGUUAGACCAAUAAACAUUAAUAUGUAUUUAUGUGUAAUAUAUUUAUAUACUGUAUAUGUGUAUAUAUAUGUAUGUAGUGUGUGUGUGCGUGUGUGUGUGUGUGUAGCCCAUGACUUAAUAGUUUUGGCCUCUGUGGCAAAUCUGUGAAGUUUGUUAAAAAUAUCCUUCUGUAUAUUUUUUGCCAUCAUGAAAUAUUUUUUCAUACAUUUACCAAGAGAGACGGUUUUCAAACCUUCAUAUAUUUAAAGUCUGAAUUUAAUUCAGGACUAUGGCUGUUUAUGAAUUAUAAUUUAAGCUUUUUUUUAUACAGAGCAGUUGGUUUUUCUGUUUACCGGUUAUAAACUGAGUCCUCAAUAUAAAAAAGAAAAGCACAGUCGUGUAUUUAAACGAAAGUUUUUAUUCGGUUUCCUGUACAUUCAUGUACCAAACAGCAUCACAUUAAAGUCAUCGUGUUUGAAGAUGUUAAAGAAAUAAUCAGAUAUAUGCUGAUGAUUCGGGUCCCUAAAAGCAACAGCAGCUCAGGGAUCCAAACAAAGGAAUAAGAAGUGUGUCAAAGUGUUUAAUGGAGGCCGAUUUCUCUGCUAAAGUUGGAGCACAAAGCAAUAAAUAGAAGAAGUUGGUAGUUAUGUUAGAGGAUUCUCAGAAUGUUUCUAGUUGAUUAGUGGAGGAUUGGAAAAAUAACUCCGUUAGUUACAUUCUUUAGUCGACGUUCUGCACAAACUCCAUCCUGGACUGAACUGAGUUGAUUCAUCGUUUUAUUCCUUUGGAGAAACUGAACAUAUUUUUAUCUUGUUGUUGAAAUAAUA